This is a non-coding RNA of Chrysemys picta bellii (western painted turtle), 2948 nucleotides long. NCBI's taxonomy places the organism in Eukaryota, Metazoa, Chordata, Testudines, Emydidae. The record is from RefSeq and is a predicted model, not a curated record.
UUGAUCCACUAAGCACAACAGCCGGAUCGCUGGCUUUGGGACAGCGUGUUCCCUGAGAUUCCCAGGGCUCUGGUUAGCGUCCAGUCACACAAUCAGCGAUGUGGGCUCUGGGAAACGCUCCCAGCCUCUGUACUUCCUGCAACAUCCCCUCCGUCAGAGAGCCUGUCCGUGUCCUCUGGGCAAAUAUUUAAUCUAAAGUGCUCCCGGCCAGCCAGGAACUUUUGGGGGACUAAGUGCUGGGGAGUGAGGAGCUAGUCUUGGCUGGCAGCAGUUAGCACGGUGCCCUCCUAGCCUUCACCUGCGUCAGCGCAGCGAGCAGAGUCCAGGCAGGCCAAUCCGGUAAACACACUGGGCAGACAGUGAUGGAUUUCUGAGAACUUGGCCUCCCCAGGGACUGGCUCGCCGUGUGCGGAAGGCAGGGAACAUUCAGAGAAUAGCAUCCCAUUUAUGGCUGUCACUGACCCCUCCAUACCUCUGUUUUCCCAGCUCAUGGGGCCUGAUUCUGUUUUCGUCUGCUCUGGCAUAAAUCCAGAGGGACCUGCACCGUCACAGAUGGUGUGAAGAUGGUGGCAGCAUGAGAGACAAGGCCCAUGGACAUGAAGGCAGGUAUUUUCCGCACCUUCCGUUUGCCGUUGUCUGGGCAGCUACUCUGGCCCACUCUCAUCUCCUGGGCAUUGGCCCUUACGUGGGAACCAAUUCCUGGACUGUCCACCUGGAUAAUCUCUGCAGACCCACUGUCAGCUGGCAAAGCGCCGGGAGGAAGUGGCGUCUCUACCAGCCAGUCGGGAGUCUGCAAAGUAAACUGCUUUCCAUACGGCUUUCCGUCUGUUCUUCUAUUAAAAGAGGAACCAUCCUAAUACAUUGAGGUUUCUGGGGAGCCCUCCGAUAGGGCAUAGACUGGGGAUAGACUCUUGCCACUGAAAUGCAACCACCUCUGGGAUGGGAUGUAAGAGCAAGCAGCAUGACACCGUCCUGAGCCUAGAGCUGGGGGAGACCCAGUGCUUUGCUGUCAAUGGACUGGGUCCACAGAGCAUUCCCAGCACGCGGCGUGUGCGUGGAACGGUAGCAAAGGUAUUGCACAGCUAGGGAACACCUGGAGAACUCCUGCCGCUGGAACCCUGGCAGUGCUGCUCCCAGAGUCCUUCCACGUGCCCCUUGCCCUGUGUACGACUGGGAUUCUUACAAAUCACAAUCAACGAUUGAACAAAUAUUCCUCAGGGAACAACAGGCAACCCAAGGGCGGGGGAGCUGAGCCUCCCACAGGCUGCCCCACAGCGCUCUAGCCCUGCGCCGGAGAGCUCAGAAGCAGCGGGGUUGUCACCUGCUGGGAAAGGGGUGAAAGCAGGAGAGCAGAGGUGGCAUCCUCACGCUGGGAGCUAAGCCAGCCCCACUUCUCGGUCAGCCGUGAGUCUCCUCCCCCUCCUCCUCGGCUGCUGGGUUCUCCCGCGCCUGGACACCACGCCAGCAGUGCCAUGCACAAUGGCCGCUUCCGCUUCUGUUAGUGAUGUCACGACUGGUUAGUGUGGUGACAGCUGUGAUGUCACAAGCAAAUAGGGCCUGGAAGAAGCAGCCAGAGCAAGGGAAUUUCGAAGGUGGGCUGAUGACCUGUUCUCAGGCCAACCCCCUCCCUGACCCCAGAACCCCGGAGAGUGGGGCAGAGGAACACGGAGAGUUCCCUUCAUUAAAGGGAAGGCACUACUCUUCCUUGGGCCUGUGCUGCUCUCAGACCCUCUCCCCAUCCUGCACCAAGGGCCCCCUCCCCCCAGCCCUGCGGUUGCUGGCAAGAAAAGCCGUCAUCACAACAACCCGCAAUAGCUGGCGCUUAGCUCCCCCGCUCCUGAGCGCAGGGGCCUGUUCCUUUGUGCAGUGCCCAGCACAACUCACAGCUGUACGCUCCAGCCCCAAUGCCGCAGCACGUCCCGCCCCAAGCCCAGCUGCCUGGCCCUCAGCCUCUGACCCCUCGUGCCAGGACUGUUUGUGCUAGAGAGACAAUGAAGCAGCCCACAAGUGUCCUAAGGGAGUGAAACUUUCUCAUCACAGACAGAGGGGAUCUGAGAACCAACCUAGCAUUUAUUUCCUGUCACUGCGCUGAAUGCUGCAAAGAGAAUCUUGCAACCCCCGCACAGCAGGCCAGGCCAGGCCAGGUCUUUCCUCCACCUCCCCGCCUUCCAGUGUGUUGCAAUGCCCUUGUAAUGACAAUCAGCGUCUCUGAGCCCCCAUCUCCCACAACCAGCCAGCACUGCAGCACCCCUGACAGGCUCCAGAGUCAGAACUGAUGGCCAGGGCCUGGGGAGGGGAUGUGUGUGUGGAGGGAGGAGAAAUGAAGGCCAACUUACAGGAGCACGUCUUCCCACUGCCCCCCAGAUCAUCAUGUCCUAUUCCUAGCAAACAGGCAGCGCAAUCCCCAUGUGUUAGGAGUUGGAGUCAGGGAGUAAAGUUUAGGCCCGAAGCAGAACUUUCCCAGAGUGUUUGGAACUGGGGUUCUGGUUCCAGCCCGUCUCUAGGAAAUGGAUCACACACAAGUCUGGGUUUGAAAAGCACUUGAGUGCUAGUGUAUUAGGCAGGGAAUGCCAUUUCGAGCACCAGCUCCCUUGACCCGACAGAGACUGCAAAUCCCCCAGACCCCUCAGCAAAUGCCUCCUGACCAGCUAGCAGACAGAUGCAAAACCAACCCCAAAAGCCUGGAGAAAGGGUUACCAACCUUGUAUUUCAAAAACAAGGGACUGUUUUCUUAGCACCCCUGCCCUUUCUCUCCUCUGAGAUUAUUGUUAGAAUUAAUUAUUAACAGGACUCACCUCCAUUCACUAUCACCAGGGGGGUUUCUUGCUGCUUUUUGCAGCACUCAGCAACUCCCAGUCUUGUUGUACCAAGAUGAAAAAAUAAGGGACUGUUAUCAGCCCUUAUUGCAUGGAUCCACCUAGCAAAGGUCUGCUGCCACCCAAGGCCGC